ACUCAAAUGAAUAGACGGGGGCCUGCACAAGCGGUGGAGUAUGUGGCUCAAUUCGAUGCAACGCGAAGAACCUUACCUGGCCUUGACAUGUACGUAGUAGAAGGGUGAAAGCCUGACGAGGUAGCAAUACCAGCGUACACAGGUGCUGCAUGGCUGUCGUCAGCUCGUGUCGUGAGAUGUUGGGUUAAGUCCCGCAACGAGCGCAACCCUUGCGUCCUGUUGCCCCUCCUGCGAGAGCAGGAAGCACUCUGGACGGACUGCCUCAUUUAAAUGAGGAGGAAGGUGGGGAUGACGUCAAGUCAGUAUGGCCCUUACGGCCAGGGCUGCACACGUACUACAAUGCCCGGCACAGAGGGAAGCAAGACCGUAAGGUGGAGCAAAUCCCAAAAAACCGGGCCCAGUUCAGAUUGUCGUCUGCAACUCGACGGCAUGAAGCUGGAAUCGCUAGUAAUGGCGCAUCAGCUACGGCGCCGUGAAUACGUUCCCAGGCCUUGUACACACCGCCCGU
This 508-nucleotide ribosomal RNA is filed under the name uncultured bacterium. RNAcentral's name for it is "partial 16S ribosomal RNA". It matches the Rfam family "Bacterial small subunit ribosomal RNA", at positions 899 to 1397 of the family's 1533-position model. The record is from RNAcentral.